AUUGAACGCUGGCGGAAUGCUUUACACAUGCAAGUCGAACGGCAGCACGGACUUCGGUCUGGUGGCGAGUGGCGAACGGGUGAGUAAUAUAUCGGAACGUAUCCAAUAAUGGGGGAUAACUAAUCGAAAGGUUGGCUAAUACCGCAUACGUCCUACGGGAGAAAGCUAGGGACCUUCGGGCCUGGCGUUAACGGAGCGGCCGAUAUCGGAUUAGCUAGUUGGUGAGGUAAAGGCUCACCAAGGCGACGAUCCGUAGCUGGUCUGAGAGGACGACCUGCCACACUGGAACGGAGACCCGGUCCAGACUCCUACGGGAGGCAGCAGUGGGGAAUUUUGGACAAUGGGCGAAAGCCUGAUCCAGCCAUUCCGCGUGAGUGAAGAAGGCCUUCGGGUUGUAAAGCUCUUUCGCAAGAGAAGAAAACUUACCCUCUAACAUAGGGUGAGGUUGACGGUAUCUUGAUAAGAAGCACCGGCUAACUACGUGCCAGCAGCCGCCGUAA
RNAcentral lists this ribosomal RNA (500 nucleotides) under uncultured bacterium. RNAcentral's name for it is "partial 16S ribosomal RNA". It matches the Rfam family "Bacterial small subunit ribosomal RNA", at positions 30 to 523 of the family's 1533-position model. The record is from RNAcentral.